AGUGAACGCUGGCGGCGUGCCUAAUACAUGCAAGUCGAACGGAGUGGCGCACGGGUGAGUAAUAUAUAGCUAAUCUGCCCCUUGCUGGAGGACAACAGUUAGAAAUGCCUGCUAAUACUCCAUAGCAAGGGAUGAGACUAUAUCGUAUCAGCUAGUCGGUGGGGUAACGGCCUACCGAGGCUAUGACGCGGAACUGGUCUGAGAGGAUGAGCAGUCACCUUGUAACUGAGACACGGUCAAAACUCCUACGGGAGGCAGCAGUAGGGUAUAGUGCGCAAUGGGGGAGACCCUGACGAAGCAACGCCGCGUGGAGGAUGACACUUUUCGGAGCGUAAACUCCUUUGGUUAGGGAAGCGGUAUCUAACCAGAAAGCCACGGCUAACUACGUGCCAGCAGCCGCGGUAAUAC
This 408-nucleotide ribosomal RNA is filed under the name uncultured bacterium. RNAcentral's name for it is "partial 16S ribosomal RNA". It matches the Rfam family "Bacterial small subunit ribosomal RNA", at positions 29 to 526 of the family's 1533-position model. The record is from RNAcentral.